RNAcentral lists this ribosomal RNA (373 nucleotides) under uncultured bacterium. RNAcentral's name for it is "bacterial SSU rRNA". It matches the Rfam family "Bacterial small subunit ribosomal RNA", at positions 525 to 896 of the family's 1533-position model. The record is from RNAcentral.
ACGUAGGAAGCGAGCGUUAUCCGGAUUUACUGGGCGUAAAGCGUGUGUAGGCGGUUUGACAAGUUGGAUGUGAAAGCUCCUGGCUUAACUGGGAGAGGUCGUUCAAAACUGUCAGACUCGAGAGUGGUAGAGGGAGGUGGAAUUCCGGGUGUAGUGGUGAAAUGCGUAGAUAUCCGGAGGAACACCAGUGGCGAAAGCGGCCUCCUGGCCCAUUUCUGACGCUCAGACACGAAAGCUAAGGUAGCAAACGGGAUUAGAGACCCCGGUAGUCUUAGCUGUAAACGAUGUGAACUUAGUGUCGGUGGGUUUAAAUCCAUCGGUACUGAAGCUAACGCGAUAAGUUCACCGCCUGGGGACUACGGCCGCAAGGUUA